ACCUUCGUGGUGUAAUGGUCAGCACACUGAGCUGGUAUUUCAGAGGUCCGUGGUUCGAUCCCCGGCGAAGGCA
Molecule: transfer RNA, 73 nt
Filed under: Stegodyphus mimosarum
Lineage: Eukaryota; Metazoa; Arthropoda; Arachnida; Araneae; Eresidae
Rfam family: tRNA
About the family: Transfer RNA (tRNA) molecules are approximately 80 nucleotides in length.
Source: Rfam by way of RNAcentral